AACGCACCUUGCGCCCUUUGGCCAUUCCGAAGGGCAUGCCUGUUUGAGUAUCAUGAACACCUCAACUCUCAUGGCUUGCCAUGAUGAGCUUGGACUUUGGGGGUCUUGCCGGCCUGCGGUCGGCUCCUCUCAAAUGAAUCAGCUUGCCAGUGUUUGGUGGCAUCACAGGUGUGAUAACUAUCUACGCUUGUGGUUCCCCACCAGGUAACCUUCAGUGAUGGAGGUUCGCUGGAGCUCAUAAACGUCUCUCCUCGGUGAGGACAGCUCUUUGAACGUUUGAUCUCAAAUCAGGUAGGACUACCCGCUGAACUUAA
Molecule: unclassified non-coding RNA, 314 nt
Filed under: uncultured Tomentella
Lineage: Eukaryota; Fungi; Basidiomycota; Agaricomycetes; Thelephorales; Thelephoraceae
Description: sequence contains ITS2
Source: RNAcentral